Molecule: non-coding RNA, 435 nt
Organism: Punica granatum (pomegranate)
Lineage: Eukaryota; Viridiplantae; Streptophyta; Magnoliopsida; Myrtales; Lythraceae
Source: RefSeq, a predicted model, not a curated record
UCAGUUUUAAUCAAACAAAAUAGCUUUGCUUACACUAAUAGUCAGAGAAAUGGAGAAGAAGUCGGUUAUCCAACUCUUAUUUAUUUUCUUAGUGGCCACCGGCCUGCUACUUCCGAAGGAGGUGGAUGCAAAAUGCGAGGAAGACCCGUGCACUUCAACAGCUGAUUGCCUCAGAUCACACCGCCCUCCCAAAGGAGUAAGCUGUUUUUGCUCUGUCGUCGGUCUUUGUUCGUGCUGCCACCCAGGAUAUCCACCCAGGAAUGAUGUUGCCGGCAACAAUACCCUUGCAUCCACUCCAUGAUUUUCAUCAAAGUUUAAUGUGUACUCCAUUUCGUCUGGAGUGCAAAACGUGAAUGAGGUUUAAUAAGGCAAUGUAACGUCAAAAUCACUAUCAUUUUGAUGGUGAUAACUAAUGAAUAAAAAAAAUAUUAUGCC